Non-coding RNA from Meleagris gallopavo (turkey), 1799 nucleotides. Lineage: Eukaryota; Metazoa; Chordata; Aves; Galliformes; Phasianidae. The record is from RefSeq and is a predicted model, not a curated record.
UCCACAGUGGGACUGAGAAGAUAGAGGCCCCAGCGCCCGUUCUUCUUGCUGCAGUAGGAUAGGCAGCAACCCUGGGAACAGCAGAGAGAUGCCUGCGUGGGCACCUCCUCUCCUUGCUGUGGCGUGGUACUCUGAGACAAGAAAAAAGCCAAGGGGAGGACAUGAGCAGGAACACUGAAAGGGACGGAGGGAACAGUGAGAGCUGGCAGAGACAGUGGCAGUGAAGAACUCUAGAUGCCGUGAUUCAUUGUGCGGACCACACAAGGUGGCUGAAUGGGAAUAAGCACACAGUGCUGAGCAGAGCAGUGUCUGCGGGGAAAAGAAGUCAGGGAGCCUGAGGCAUUUGAACCAAGAAUUGAAUGACCCCAAUCCCAAAUAGUGCAGACCAUACUGGGACAGGAUGGAAACAGGAUCAGAGCUCUGCAGUGGAGCAGCAGAGUCAUGAUGCACCAAGAUGCACAGAACGAAAGCAGAGAACUACAGAUAUCAUAUCCAAAUCUUUGAAGCUGCAAAGGACUUUGAAACAAAUUCACAAAAGGUUCAUUUGCCGUGCGGCAGUGGACAGAAGACAAAGAGCCAAAUUUUCCUUGCCUUUCCAGUAGAGCUAAAACUGUUCCACGAGGCAUCAGUUUAAGAGAGGGACACGGCUGGACUUCUGAAACAAGCACUACUUUGACCACUAGGAAUUGUUACUGGCUUCUGGGGGAAAAUAGUCCAAUGACUUUGCUCUCUGUUCCUCACCAGCCGUUUUCACUAUCUAAUUUCCCGGAACAUUUAAUUGUGACAGAACAUUUCAUGUGGCUCAUUGUGCACUGAGAUAUUCUAGCACAUUUUUCAAGACAUAGCACUAUGCAUUUCAAAUAAAUGACAUAAACUACUUUUUUGGACUUUUUUUUUUGCUAUGGUAGAUGAUUGGCUUACACUUCUUUCAAGCAUUUACACUUACAUUACUUUUAAAGGACAAGACAUGGUAGCAUUUGGUUUGUAUCUUCAGUCAUGGACCGAUAUAUAUCCAUCGCUUUGUAGAAAAUUAGAAAUACCUUUUCUUCACAUGAAGGAUUUCUCUUGACCCUAAGCAUCACCACCAUAGUGCCAGCAUGAGCUCCAAUUAAGCAGGGGCUGCAAUUGGUACUGGAGGAGUUUAUCCUGCCACACAAGGUGCCACUCUCCCUCCAUAUGCUAGCAGCCUGUCCUCAGAGAGCUAUGCCUCUUGCUGAAAAUAGCUGGAGGUGAGACGGAUCUUCACCUGGAAAAUCUGCAGCAAGAAACCUCCCAGAAAUAGAGCUACUUGGAGGAUCUUGCCAGAAGGAAGCAACAUGCGGAGCAGACAAUAGGAAAAAGAAUAAUCCCCUGCCUAUAAUUUUUUUUGGUUCACAGACUCUUCCCCAUCAACACCAAGUUUUACUUAGAAAUACUGUGCAGAAGAUUUCUGCCAUUUCAUGCAACAUCAUAAAAUUAUAGAAUGUCUCUAUGCUCAGAAAAUGGUACAGAAUAAGUGGUUUUCCAUAAAGCCAGGACAAAAUUACAACUUGCAAACAAUAAUAAUGAAGAUCUUGGCCAUGGUUCAGUACCCCAUUCCAUUAUGUGAUGCACAAGGAGAGCAAAAUCACUCAGCAAUGCAGACUGAGAUGCACAGGCAAGGGUGUACUCUGGGAGGAAAAGAAGGAUAUAUGUGCAUGUCCUAUCCAGAGGGUCUCAUGCUGUGGGGACUAGGCCACAACUCAGGUUUCACAAGAUGAAGGACAGUGAUGUCCUAUUUCAUAGGGAAGAAAAAAAAAAUAAAACUGUUUUUCUUUUAA